Molecule: transfer RNA, 84 nt
Filed under: Candidatus Woesearchaeota archaeon
Lineage: Archaea; Nanobdellati; Candidatus Woesearchaeota
Description: tRNA-Leu
Rfam family: tRNA
About the family: Transfer RNA (tRNA) molecules are approximately 80 nucleotides in length. Their secondary structure includes four short double-helical elements and three loops (D, anti-codon, and T loops). Further hydrogen bonds mediate the characteristic L-shaped molecular structure. tRNAs have two regions of fundamental functional importance: the anti-codon, which is responsible for specific mRNA codon recognition, and the 3' end, to which the tRNAs corresponding amino acid is attached (by aminoacyl-tRNA synthetases). tRNAs cope with the degeneracy of the genetic code in two manners: having more than one tRNA (with a specific anti-codon) for a particular amino acid; and 'wobble' base-pairing, i.e. permitting non-standard base-pairing at the 3rd anti-codon position.
Source: RNAcentral
GCGGGAGUGUCAGAGUGGUCAAAUGAGACGGACUUAAGAUCCGUUGGCUUAGUGCCUUCGAAGGUUCGAACCCUUCCUUCCGCA